Molecule: ribosomal RNA, 448 nt
Filed under: uncultured bacterium
Lineage: Bacteria
Description: partial 16S ribosomal RNA
Rfam family: Bacterial small subunit ribosomal RNA
Source: RNAcentral
AACGAACGCUGGCGGCAUGCCUAACACAUGCAAGUCGAACGAGAUCUUCGGGUCUAGUGGCGCACGGGUGCGUAACGCGUGGGAAUCUGCCCUUUGGUUCGGAAUAACAGUUGGAAACGACUGCUAAUACCGGAUGAUGACGAAAGUCAAAGAUUUAUCGCCAGAGGAUGAGCCCGCGUAGGAUUAGCUAGUUGGUGUGGUAAAGGCGCACCAAGGCGACGAUCCUUAGCUGGUCUGAGAGGAUGAUCAGCCACACUGGGACUGAGACACGGCCCAGACUCCUACGGGAGGCAGCAGGGGGGAAGAUUGGACAAUGGGCGAAAGCCUGAUCCAGCAAUGCCGCGUGAGUGAUGAAGGCCUUAGGGUUGUAAAGCUCUUUUACCCGGGAUGAUAAUGACAGUACCGGGAGAAUAAGCUCCGGCUAACUCCGUGCCAGCCGCCGUAAAAC